This 232-nucleotide long non-coding RNA is filed under the name Elaeis guineensis (African oil palm). RNAcentral's name for it is "long non-coding RNA (EGUI_LNC062356)". The record is from RNAcentral. Lineage: Eukaryota; Viridiplantae; Streptophyta; Magnoliopsida; Arecales; Arecaceae.
UCUUAUAGAAGGAUCUAAACAAGCCCUUUGUAGGAAUUUUAACCAAAACCUUAUCAUAUUACCAUUUUUUGCAGUCAGAGGUUGGAUGGCUGGAUUGAUCUCUGCUUUCGCAUACGUAAGAUAUUGUUCGUGCAACGGUAACCCCACUAGUCAAAGAAGACUCUAUGUGCAUAGGGAGAACCCUUCCUUAGCACCAUUCUAUUACAGUCAAGGAUUGGAUGGCUUGAUGGCU